AUCUAAACGUUUAGGAAUCUAUUCUAAACGUGUUCUGAAUAUUUAAUUUGCGUUUAGAUGACAUUUACGUCGUUCUAAACGAUUAGGAAUCAAUUCUAAAUGAGUUCUGAAUAUUUAGUUAGCGUUUAAGCGCUAAAUCAUGCCGGUUUCCGUUACUUCGAUUAGCCCGGAAGGGAUUUUGCACAGAAACGGACAUUUUGGAUCUUUCAUUAUUGUUUAAAAAUUUGAAUUUCAUAUGAAUAUUAAAUUAUGUAGAUAGUAGUUUAGAAAACUUAAAAGAAAUUUGAGUAAACAAAAAUUGAGUUAACGGAUGUUUUAGGAGGAUUAACUUUUUGAUAAUGACCUUUGGACAUGCUUGUUUGUAUAUUAAAACAUGCUUGUUACCAUAUUUAAAAUCGUUAUUUAGUCUGAUUUUCUAAUGGCAUAAAAAACUAUACUUAGACUGUUAUUAAAAUAGACUAUUAGUCUAUAAUAAUUCGCAUAAAUAUCACAAAAGUUUGAAAAAAGGUUUAGUUAUGAAAGUUAUUAAGUUUGGUAUUAUUUAAUUAAAUUGAAGCAGUUUGUAUUACAGAAAAAAGUGGUUUUACAAGAUUUGAAAUAGUUUGUAUCAAACCAAGAAGUAGUUAAAAGAUUGCAAAAGAGAUCAUUCGUAUGAGUGCAAAAGCAAAGUAUAUGCGAAAAUAUAGAAAAGUUGUUAAAGGUGCAAAUAAUUGCUUUGAAUGUGAACCUCCUGUGUUAUCAAAUUCUUCAACUAAUGCAGAAAAUUUAUUCGCUUUAUCUUCUAUUGCAAAUAAUAUAACUGAUAAUUUA
Molecule: non-coding RNA, 810 nt
Organism: Hydra vulgaris (swiftwater hydra)
Lineage: Eukaryota; Metazoa; Cnidaria; Hydrozoa; Anthoathecata; Hydridae
Source: RefSeq, a predicted model, not a curated record